This 253-nucleotide ribosomal RNA is filed under the name uncultured bacterium. RNAcentral's name for it is "partial 16S ribosomal RNA". It matches the Rfam family "Bacterial small subunit ribosomal RNA", at positions 524 to 776 of the family's 1533-position model. The record is from RNAcentral.
UACGGAGGGUGCAAGCGUUAUCCGGAUUUACUGGGUUUAAAGGGUGCGUAGGCGGGCAUGUAAGUCAGUGGUGAAAUACCGGAGCUUAACUUCGGAACUGCCAUUGAUACUAUAUGUCUUGAAUAUUGUGGAGGUAAGCGGAAUAUGUCAUGUAGCGGUGAAAUGCAUAGAUAUGACAUAGAACACCGAUUGCGGAGGCAGCUUGCUACACAAAUAUUGACGCUGAGACGCGAAAGCGUGGGGAGCAAACAGG